RNAcentral lists this ribosomal RNA (253 nucleotides) under uncultured bacterium. Its description in RNAcentral is "partial 16S ribosomal RNA". It matches the Rfam family "Bacterial small subunit ribosomal RNA", at positions 524 to 776 of the family's 1533-position model. The record is from RNAcentral.
UACGGGGGGAGCAAGCGUUGUUCGGAUUUACUGGGCGUAAAGGGCGCGUAGGCGGCCCGCUACGUCGAACGUGAAAUCCCCAGGCUCAACCUGGGAACUGCGUCCGAUACUGGCAGGCUUGAAUCCGGGAGAGGGAUGUGGAAUUCCAGGUGUAGCGGUGAAAUGCGUAGAUAUCUGGAGGAACACCGGUGGCGAAGGCGGCAUCCUGGACCGGUAUUGACGCUGAGGCGCGAAAGCUAGGGUAGCAAACGGG